Molecule: ribosomal RNA, 286 nt
Filed under: uncultured bacterium
Lineage: Bacteria
Description: partial 16S ribosomal RNA
Rfam family: Bacterial small subunit ribosomal RNA
Source: RNAcentral
AACGAACGCUGGCGGCAUGCCUAACACAUGCAAGUCGAACGAGACCUUCGGGUCUAGUGGCGCACGGGUGCGUAACGCGUGGGAAUCUGCCCCUUGGUUCGGAAUAACUUCGGGAAACUGAAGCUAAUACCGGAUAAUGACGUAAGUCCAGAGAUUUAUCGCCAAGGGAUGAGCCCGCGUAGGAUUAGCUAGUUGGUGUGGUAAAGGCGCACCAAGGCGACGAUCCUUAGCUGGUCUGAGAGGAUGAUCAGCCACACUGGGACUGAGACACGGCCCAGACUCCUAC